GGCGGACGGGUGAGUAACGCGUAAAGAACUUGCCCUUUAGACUGGGAUAACAGAGGGAAACUUCUGAUAAUACUGGAUAAGUUAGUAUAUCGCAUGAUAUGCAAAAUGAAAGCUACGGCACUAAAGGAGAGCUUUGCGUCCUAUUAGCUAGUUGGUAAGGUAAGAGCUUACCAAGGCGAUGAUAGGUAGCCGGCCUGAGAGGGUGGACGGCCACAAGGGGGACUGAGAUACGGCCCUUACUCCUACGGGAGGCAGCAGGC
This 260-nucleotide ribosomal RNA is filed under the name uncultured Leptotrichia sp. RNAcentral's name for it is "partial 16S ribosomal RNA". It matches the Rfam family "Bacterial small subunit ribosomal RNA", at positions 97 to 354 of the family's 1533-position model. The record is from RNAcentral. Lineage: Bacteria; Fusobacteriati; Fusobacteriota; Fusobacteriia; Fusobacteriales; Leptotrichiaceae.